This 274-nucleotide ribosomal RNA is filed under the name uncultured bacterium. RNAcentral's name for it is "partial 16S ribosomal RNA". It matches the Rfam family "Bacterial small subunit ribosomal RNA", at positions 523 to 796 of the family's 1533-position model. The record is from RNAcentral.
AUACGGAGGGUGCAAGCGUUACUCGGAAUCACUGGGCGUAAAGCGCGCGCAGGCGGCCAUUUAAGUUGGAUGUGAAAGCCUACGGCUCAACCGUAGAACUGCAUCCAAAACUAUUUGGCUAGAGUGUGGGAGAGGAAGAUGGAAUUAGUUGUGUAGGGGUAUAAUCCGUAGAGAUAACUAGGAAUACCAAAAGCGAAGGCAAUCUUCUGGAACACUACUGACGCUGAGGCGCGAAAGCGUGGGGAGCAAACGGGAUUAGAAACCCCAGUAGUCC